GUGGGGAAUUGUUCGCAAUGGGCGCAAGCCUGACGACGCAACGCCGCGUGGAGGACGAAGAUCUUCGGGUCGUAAACUCCUUUCGAUCGAGAAGAAUGCCUUUGGGUUUAAUACGCCCGAAGGGUGACGGUAUCGAGAGAAGAAGCCCCGGCUAACUCUGUGCCAGCAGCCGCGGUAAUACAGGGGGGGCAAGCGUUGUUCGGAAUUACUGGGCGUAAAGGGCUCGUAGGCGGCCAACUAAGUCCGACGUGAAAUCCCCAGGCUUAACCUGGGAACUGCGUCGGAUACUGGUUGGCUUGAAUUCGGGAGAGGGAUGCAGAAUUCCAGGUGUAGCGGUGAAAUGCGUAGAUAUCUGGAGGAAUACCGGUGGCGAAGGCGGCAUCCUGGACCGACAUUGACGCUGAUGAGCGAAAGCUAGGGGAGCAAAC
This 428-nucleotide ribosomal RNA is filed under the name uncultured bacterium. Its description in RNAcentral is "bacterial SSU rRNA". It matches the Rfam family "Bacterial small subunit ribosomal RNA", at positions 354 to 773 of the family's 1533-position model. The record is from RNAcentral.